CACGUAGGCGGUGAAUCGGGUUGAAAGUGAAAGUCGCCAAAAAGUGGUGGAAUGCUCUCGAAACCAAUUCACUUGAGUGAGACAGAGGAGAGUGGAAUUUCGUGUGUAGGGGUGAAAUCCGAAGAUCUACGAAGGAAGGCCAAAAAGCGAAGGCAGCUCUCUGGGUCCCUACCGACGCUGGAGUGCGAAAGCAUGGGGAGCGAACG
RNAcentral lists this ribosomal RNA (206 nucleotides) under uncultured bacterium. Its description in RNAcentral is "partial 16S ribosomal RNA". It matches the Rfam family "Bacterial small subunit ribosomal RNA", at positions 568 to 774 of the family's 1533-position model. The record is from RNAcentral.